This 649-nucleotide ribosomal RNA is filed under the name uncultured bacterium. RNAcentral describes it as "bacterial SSU rRNA". It matches the Rfam family "Bacterial small subunit ribosomal RNA", at positions 141 to 808 of the family's 1533-position model. The record is from RNAcentral.
GGAUAACACUUAGAAAUAGGUGCUAAAACCGCAUAAGCGCACAGGAUCGCAUGGUCCGGUGUGAAAAACUCCGGUGGUAUACGAUGGACCCGCGUCUGAUUAGCUUGUUGGCGGGGUAGAGGCCCACCAAGGCGACGAUCAGUAGCCGGCCUGAGAGGGUGAACGGCCACAUUGGGACUGAGACACGGCCCAAACUCCUACGGGAGGCAGCAGUGGGGAAUAUUGCACAAUGGGGGAAACCCUGAUGCAGCGACGCCGCGUGAGUGAAGAAGUAUUUCGGUAUGUAAAGCUCUAUCAGCAGGAAAGAAAAUGACGGUACCUGACUAAGAAGCCCCGGCUAACUACGUGCCAGCAGCCGCGGUAAUACGUAGGGGGCAAGCGUUAUCCGGAUUUACUGGGUGUAAAGGGAGCGUAGACGGUGAAGCAAGUCUGAAGUGAAAGGCGGGGGCUCAACCCCCGGACUGCUUUGGAAACUGUUUGACUGGAGUGCAGGAGAGGUAAGUGGAAUUCCUAGUGUAGCGGUGAAAUGCGUAGAUAUUAGGAGGAACACCAGUGGCGAAGGCGGCUUACUGGACUGUAACUGACGUUGAGGCUCGAAAGCGUGGGGAGCAAACAGGAUUAGAUACCCUGGUAGUCCACGCGGUAAACG